This is a long non-coding RNA of Lagenorhynchus albirostris (white-beaked dolphin), 501 nucleotides long. RefSeq lists it as uncharacterized. The record is from RefSeq and is a predicted model, not a curated record. Lineage: Eukaryota; Metazoa; Chordata; Mammalia; Artiodactyla; Delphinidae. The transcript is spliced from 3 exons.
UGUAUAUCUGGGACAAACAGAAUAAAAAUAUGACUGAGGCAUAAUGUGCAGGAAAAUGGUGAAAGAGAUGGCAGAUGAAGCUGGAGAAGCAGGUUGAACCAAACUUUAAGCCAAGCUAAUAGAAACGAGGCGAAGAUGGAGCAGGAAACACGACUCAGGCUGCUCUGUGUGUUUACAGAAAAUUUGAUUAUACACUGGGACCAGCUUGUGGGACCACCAUGAUCCAGAGAGACUCCAUAACACUCCUGAAGAUCUCACUUCCUCAGGGGACCUUCCUGACCUGCCCCCAACACCAGACUACCUUUUCAAGUACCACGAAUUCUGCUUCUUGGAUCAUCCCACAUGAAAAGGAAAUUUGGACACACAAAGAGAUACCAGAGAUGUGGGCACACAGAUGAAAGACACAGGGAGAAGAAGGCCAUCUGCAAGCCAAGCGGAGAGGAGAAACCAAACCCUCCAACACCUUGCUCUGGGAUAUCCAGCCUCCAGAGCUGUAAGCAA